GAUGAACGCUGGCGGCGUGCCUAAUACAUGCAAGUCGAGCGAACAGACGAGGAGCUUGCUCCUUUGACGUUAGCGGCGGACGGGUGAGUAACACGUAGGUAACCUACCUAUAGGACUGGGAUAACUUCGGGAAACCGGAGCUAAUACCGGAUAAUAUUUCGAACCGCAUGGUUCGAUAGUGAAAGAUGGCUUUGCUAUCACUUAUAGAUGGACCUGCGCCGUAUUAGCUAGUUGGUAAGGUAACGGCUUACCAAGGCAACGAUACGUAGCCGACCUGAGAGGCUGAUCGGCCACACUGGAACUGAGACACGGUCCAGACUCCUACGGGAGGCAGCAGUAGGGAAUCUUCCGCAAUGGGUGAAAGCCUGACGGAGCAACGCCGCGUGAGUGAUGAAGGCCUUCGGAUCGUAAAACUCUGUUAUUAGGGAAGAACAAACGUGUAAGUAACUGUGCGCGUCUUGACGGUACCUAAUCAGAAAGCCCCGGCUAACUACGUG
This 497-nucleotide ribosomal RNA is filed under the name uncultured bacterium. RNAcentral describes it as "partial 16S ribosomal RNA". It matches the Rfam family "Bacterial small subunit ribosomal RNA", at positions 28 to 507 of the family's 1533-position model. The record is from RNAcentral.